UUUAGCGCUAUCAUAGAUAUCAUCGACGAACAUUGAAUAUCGGUUCCAGUAAAUUUUCAGAAAGACAUAACAUGGAGAUCUCUUCAUUCAUAUAUUCAGGUACCUGAAUCUCUCAUGAGAUUUUAUGAAGUGUUAUGUCAUGUGAUCUUCUAGAUCACUUGCCUCCUUAUUAUGAUCACUUUGAUCAUUUGCUUAUCUUCUUUAU
This 205-nucleotide long non-coding RNA is filed under the name Nicotiana benthamiana. RNAcentral describes it as "long non-coding RNA (NBEN_LNC011089)". The record is from RNAcentral. Lineage: Eukaryota; Viridiplantae; Streptophyta; Magnoliopsida; Solanales; Solanaceae.